CGGACGGGUGAGUAACGCGUGAGAAUCUGCCCUCAGGAGGGGGAUAACGGCUGGAAACGGCCGCUAAUACCCCAUAUGCCGCGAGGUGAAAUGAAUUUCGCCUGAGGAUGAGCUCGCGUCUGAUUAGCUAGUUGGUGGGGUAAGAGCCUACCAAGGCAUCGAUCAGUAGCUGGUCUGAGAGGAUGAUCAGCCACACUGGGACUGAGACACGGCCCAGACCCCUACGGGAGGCAGCAGUGGGGAAUUUUCCGCAAUGGGCGAAAGCCUGACGGAGCAACGCCGCGUGAGGGAUGAAGGCCUCUGGGCUGUAAACCUCUUUUAUCAAGGAAGAAGAUCUGACGGUACUUGAUGAAUAAGCCACGGCUAAUUCCGUGCCAGCAGCCGCGGUAAUACGGGAGUGGCAAGCGUUAUCCGGAAUUAUUGGGCGUAAAGCGUCCGCAGGCGGCCUUGUAAGUCUGUCGUCAAAGCGUGGAGCUUAACUCCAUUUAAGCGAUGGAAACUGCAAGGCUAGAGUGUGGUAGGGGCAGAGGGAAUUCCCGGUGUAGCGGUGAAAUGCGUAGAUAUCGGGAAGAACACCAGUGGCGAAGGCGCUCUGCUGGGCCAUAACUGACGCUCAUGGACGAAAGCCAGGGGAGCGAAAGGGAUUAGAUACCCCUGUAGUC
Molecule: ribosomal RNA, 662 nt
Filed under: uncultured Cyanobacterium sp.
Lineage: Bacteria; Bacillati; Cyanobacteriota; Cyanophyceae; Chroococcales; Geminocystaceae
Description: bacterial SSU rRNA
Rfam family: Bacterial small subunit ribosomal RNA
Source: RNAcentral